GACGAACGCCGGCGGCGUGCUUAACACAUGCAAGUCGAACGGAAAGGCCCUGCUUUUGUGGGGUGCUCGAGUGGCGAACGGGUGAGUAACACGUGAGUAACCUGCCCUUGACUUUGGGAUAACUUCAGGAAACUGGGGCUAAUACCGGAUAGGAGCUCCUGCUGCAUGGUGGGGGUUGGAAAGUUUCGGCGGUUGGGGAUGGACUCGCGGCUUAUCAGCUUGUUGGUGGGGUAGUGGCUUACCAAGGCUUUGACGGGUAGCCGGCCUGAGAGGGUGACCGGCCACAUUGGGACUGAGAUACGGCCCAGACUCCUACGGGAGGCAGCAGUGGGGAAUAUUGCACAAUGGGCGGAAGCCUGAUGCAGCAACGCCGCGUGCGGGAUGACGGCCUUCGGGCUGUAAACCGCUUUCGCCUGUGACGAAGCGUGAGUGACGGUAAUGGGUAAAGAAGCACCGGCUAACUACGUG
This 468-nucleotide ribosomal RNA is filed under the name uncultured bacterium. RNAcentral's name for it is "partial 16S ribosomal RNA". It matches the Rfam family "Bacterial small subunit ribosomal RNA", at positions 28 to 507 of the family's 1533-position model. The record is from RNAcentral.